GCUGGGCGUGGUGGCGCGUGCCUAUAAUCCCAGCUACUGGGGAGGCUGAGACAGAAGAAUCGCUUGAACUCAGGAGGUGGACGUUGCAGUGAGCCGAGAUUGCGCCACUGCACUCCAGCCUGGGUGACAGAGUGAGACUCUGUCUCAA
Molecule: unclassified non-coding RNA, 148 nt
Organism: Macaca fascicularis (crab-eating macaque)
Lineage: Eukaryota; Metazoa; Chordata; Mammalia; Primates; Cercopithecidae
Rfam family: Metazoan signal recognition particle RNA
About the family: The signal recognition particle (SRP) is a universally conserved ribonucleoprotein.
Source: Ensembl